GAUGAACGCUGGCGGCGUGCCUAAUACAUGCAAGUCGAGCGAACAGACCUGUAUCUUGCUCCUCUGACGUUAGCGACGGACGGGUGACUCACACGUGGCUAACCUUCCUCUUUGACUUGGAUAACCUCGGGAGACCCUAGCUCCUACCAGCUAAUCUUUUUAACCGCUUGGUUCUAUAGUGUUUGGCCGUUUUGCUGUCUCUUCUCGCUUGAUCCGCGGCGGAUUAGCUAGUUGGUAAGGUAACGGCUUACCAAGGAAACGAUGCGUAGCAGACAUGAGCGGGGGAUCGGCGACACUGGAAGUGAGACACGGGACAGAGUCCUAGGGGAGGCAGCAGUAGGGAAUGGGGGGAAAUGGGCGGAAGAAUGACGGAGGAAUGGCGGGUGAGUGAAGAAGGUCUUCGGAGCGUAAAACUGUGUUAGUAGGGAAGAACAAAUGUGGAAGUAACGAAGCAUGGCGUGACGGUAGCGAAUAAGAAAGCACCGGCUAACUACGUG
Molecule: ribosomal RNA, 497 nt
Filed under: uncultured bacterium
Lineage: Bacteria
Description: partial 16S ribosomal RNA
Rfam family: Bacterial small subunit ribosomal RNA
Source: RNAcentral